RNAcentral lists this ribosomal RNA (1887 nucleotides) under Triticum aestivum (bread wheat). RNAcentral describes it as "partial small subunit ribosomal RNA". The record is from RNAcentral. Lineage: Eukaryota; Viridiplantae; Streptophyta; Magnoliopsida; Poales; Poaceae.
AUGGGCGAGACGAUCGAGGAUUUGGCACGCGAUGUCUCGGCGCUGUUUCUGCAGGCCAACGGUGAGCAAGAAGGGGCCGCCAGCAUGGACAUGGGGAUAUGUAUGCUGCGCGAGCGGGUGCGCGAGCAGAUGGACAAACUAGUGCAGAGUUUGAUCUCGGCAGACAGGGAACAAGAGAAACGGGAGGCAAUCCCCAUGUUGCAGUCGAUCUCGGAUACUAUCGGGCACCUCGGUGCCGCCAACGGCCAACCGUCAGUCACGGAGGAGUUGGAUGACGAGAAGGUCGAGGCCAUCGACAGCGGCAACCUGAAGGAGGAGGAGGAGGAGGAGGAAGAGGAACUUGAUGAGACGGGCAUGAGCGGCAGGGAAGGCAGAGUCGCGGAAGAAUCGGUGGUCUACCGCGAACGCAAUGCAGCCGCGGAGGCGGAGACCAACCCGGGAGCCGAGGAAGUGGACUACGCCGAGCACGAGGAGGAGGCAUUCGCUCGCUUCCGCACGGACUGGGAGCGUCGCAAAGGCAAACACUGCUUCGAAGACCUGAUCACCGACGUGAAACUCUUCAAGUGGCCGCUGCAGGUGCACGGCGUCGUUGCUGCCAGAGAUGCUGUGGAUGAGCACCGCAACCCCAUCUUUCUUCGUUCAAGGGAUGACUGCCAAAUCCUCAAUGAAGCGGAUCCUUUUCUAUACCUGACUGGCCCAGUUCGUGCAAUUGUGCCCGAGAAGCCCGUUCACAUCGAAAUCCAACUCAAAGUAAAGGGCACAACGGCCUCCCAAGAUAGAGCGUUGCUCAGUUAUAUCUUUUAUUAUGAUGGCGAUUAUUAUGAAGCUAGUUCAAGUACGAUCAUCAUUGAAAAGCACUCUUGCACACUAGAGUUAGGCGCCCAACAGCUUAAACGUUCAGUUCAAGCCACUAUCUUUGGUGUUCAUGUUGCUGAUUACAAAUCAAAUCCUUUUGAGCAUGGAGUUCGAGUGGUUUGCUCCUCACUAUCUCAGCAGCACGACGCCGAUGAGUCCCCAUCUAUGGAAGUUGUGUUGCUUGAAUCGAAAGUUGGAAGAAAGCAUGCAGUGAAACGUGGUUACCUCAAUCUGUCAAGGCAAGUUGUUUCUGUAAACUUGAGUGGAAAGCUUAAAGUUCUCAUUGAAGCAUACACACCAUCCGGGGAAAUCAUGACACAGGGUCAUGUCUUCGUCAUGCCCAAAACAAGCAACACCAGCCAACAUGCAUGUGACCUUGAUGGCUUCAAGGUGGAGUUUACCGUUGCUUGGUCCUUUCUUGUUCAAGAUGAGGAGCAUAUCUCGAUGAAUGGGCGUGCGGAUCCUUUGGCACCACGUCCCGUAAAUCCCUCCCUUUUCCUCAAGGAGACCACGGCAAAACCGACAAAGGUAGUACAUAAAUGGCAACCUCCUGAUCAUCCUUUUAUCAAGGUCAAUGUGGAUGCUUCUUUCCAUGAAGAAACACAACAAGGUGGCACGGGACUGGGCAUUCGCAAUCACGAGGGCACUUUGCUACGUGCCCAAGCAAUAUGGUAUGAUGCGGGGCUUAGCGCAAUGGCCAUGGAGGCUUAUGCAAUCCGAGAUGGGGUCCAACUGGCACGCAACAUUGGUAUGCGGAAGGUGAUAGUUGAAACCAAUGCCCAAACAAUGGUGAACAUGUGGAAUGCUAGAUGUUUCGAUCGUUCCGAGAUAGCUGCCACUUUGCAUGAAAUACAAGAGCUUUGUGGGACUCUAGAGGAGUUCCGCUUAGUAUUCACGACAAGGGAAGAGAAUGAAUUGGCGCAUCUUUGUGCAGAACAAUGUAGUGCCACUAGGAGAAGGUGUUUAUGGAUUAAUUAUAUCCCAUCCUUCCUUGCCGAUUGUGUAAAGAAGGAAUGUAAUCCAACUAUAUGA